Molecule: long non-coding RNA, 981 nt
Organism: Lingula anatina
Lineage: Eukaryota; Metazoa; Brachiopoda; Lingulata; Lingulida; Lingulidae
Source: RefSeq, a predicted model, not a curated record
GUUUUGGACCAACAAUACAGACAGUUGUUACUGCAACGAGAACCCCUGUGCUACUAUAACAAUGGCGGAUGCGAAGACCUGUGUGUAAAUACGUACGCCGGCCAUUACUGUGCGUGUAGUCUGGGCUAUCAACUGGUGGUCGGGGAAAACGACACAACUUCCUGUGAAUAUGAAAUCACGUGUGUGGCGCUCAACGAAUACAAUCAGUUGCUGUGUAUCUGUGAAGAUCCCAAGUGAAUGGCAGAUAUCCAGUGAAUGGAAUAAGGUGUCAAGACAAGGAUGAGUGUAUCAUGGAGAGUCCGUGUCAAGACCAGUGUACUAAUACCAUUGGAAGCUUCUUCUGUAAUUGUUCGGAUGGAUAUCGUCUCUCAAAUGAUUCCAAGACAUAUAAAUGAGUGUUUGAAUCGGGAAUUGUGUCGGUCUGUGUGUAUCAACAGCCCAGGUGAUUAUUUUUGUUUGGGCAUUGACGGACAAAGUGGCCGCAAAAAGAAAGCGACAGGAAGAACGCGUGGCGACAUCUACAGUGCCUAUCUCGAAGAGCCACACGAGUCUUUUGUAAAUCAUCUUCAGACACUUCGAAUUCAACUGCAAUAUAACAUAAGAGCUCAGCGCACAAAAGACACGCAGAGGCAUUUUCGGCAGUCGAUGAUAUACCUUCUUAUCGCUGUUAUUGCAGUUCUUAUGUCACUGAUCUUUAUGUGCAGACUACACAGGCUUGAAAAAGAAGUCGAGAGAUCACACCUCGGAACAAAAAGUUUAAAGCCUAGCAGUGGCGUUAUUAAAAUUGGUAAAUCGUGUUUAAAAUGAGUUUUAAUGGGAUAACAGCUGUUCGUAUGAGAUCCAUAUUUCGCAAUAAAUAUAUUGUAAACGCUCAUAGAAAUAUAAUAACUUCACCACCGAAACAGCGGCUAUCGCAAUUAUUCUGUAAUUUGUGCCUGUCAUCAGACCACGAGGUCAUUCAUAGAUGGCUAUACCUCCCUA